GGAGACAUAGCUCAGCUGGGAGAGCGAGCGACUGAAGAUCGCUAGGUCGGGUGUUCGAUCCACCCUGGCUCCA
This is a non-coding RNA of Vanrija pseudolonga, 73 nucleotides long. NCBI's taxonomy places the organism in Eukaryota, Fungi, Basidiomycota, Tremellomycetes, Trichosporonales, Trichosporonaceae. The record is from the annotation of a RefSeq genome assembly.